AAUCCAGCUUCUUCAGGAUGAUGGGGAACAUGCUCCUGAAAUCGUUUGGGUAAGCAAUUGCUGAUUUUAGUCAAAUUCCCUCACCUCACAAAAAGGCUGGAGUGCAGUGACGUGAACUCGGCUUACUGUAACCUCUGCCCCCACCAGGUUCAAGCAAUUCUCGUACCUCAGCCUCCCAAGUAGCUGGGAUUACAGUGAAGUUUCUGAAAAGUAAUACAGCAGGCAAAUAAAAUCUGCAGGAGACAGCAGAAGGAAAAGCAAUUAUUCUGAAUAAUCUACACAUAAAAAAUAUGAUUUUGUUUGAUAUUUACCACCCCCUUCAAUUUUGAGGAGCGAUUACUUCCAAAUGAGGCAUGUAUGCUGAGUUGUUCUUUGACUCAUCUAUAAAGCUUUUAGCAAAUUGAGGGAAUUUGAAUUUCUAACAUCAAAAUGCAAUGUACAAAGGAGGAAAAAAUAUGACUCACCCAGCCCCCAAAUUUCAUAUUUAUAUCUCUGAUUGAAUCUGGUUUUAAAGGCGAAAUUUUAAAGGAAUAAAAGGCAAA
Molecule: long non-coding RNA, 542 nt
Organism: Homo sapiens (human)
Lineage: Eukaryota; Metazoa; Chordata; Mammalia; Primates; Hominidae
Gene: ADGRL3-AS1
Product: ADGRL3 antisense RNA 1
Source: Ensembl